RNAcentral lists this ribosomal RNA (393 nucleotides) under uncultured bacterium. Its description in RNAcentral is "bacterial SSU rRNA". It matches the Rfam family "Bacterial small subunit ribosomal RNA", at positions 521 to 916 of the family's 1533-position model. The record is from RNAcentral.
UAAUACGAAGGUGGCAAGCGUUGUUCGGAUUCACUGGGCGUACAGGGUGUGUAGGCGGUUUGGUAAGCCUUCUGUUAAAGCUUCGGGCCCAACCCGGAAAGCGCAGAGGGUACUGCCAGGCUAGAGGGUGGGAGAGGAGCGCGGAAUUCCCGGUGUAGCGGUGAAAUGCGUAGAGAUCGGGAGGAAGGCCGGUGGCGAAGGCGGCGCUCUGGAACAUGCCUGACGCUGAGACACGAAAGCGUGGGGAGCAAACAGGAUUAGAUACCCUGGUAGUCCACGCCCUAAACUAUGGAUACUAAGUGUCGGCGGGUUACCGCCGGUGCCGCAGCUAACGCAUUAAGUAUCCCGCCUGGGAAGUACGGCCGCAAGGUUGAAACUUAAAUGAAUUGACGG